CCUACGGGGGGCAGCAGUGGGGAAUAUUGCACAAUGGGCGAAAGCCUGAUGCAGCAACGCCGCGUGAGGGAUGACGGCCUUCGGGUUGUAAACCUCUUUUAGCAGGGAAGAAGCGAGAGUGACGGUACCUGCAGAAAAAGCGCCGGCUAACUACGUGCCAGCAGCCGCGGUAAU
RNAcentral lists this ribosomal RNA (174 nucleotides) under uncultured bacterium. Its description in RNAcentral is "partial 16S ribosomal RNA". It matches the Rfam family "Bacterial small subunit ribosomal RNA", at positions 338 to 524 of the family's 1533-position model. The record is from RNAcentral.